GAUGAAGAACGUAGCGAAAUGCGAUAAGUAAUGUGAAUUGCAGAAUUCAGUGAAUCAUCGAAUCUUUGAACGCACAUUGCGCCCAUUAGUAUUCUAGUGGGCAUGCCUGUUCGAGCGUCAUUAAGUCCACUUAAGCCCUGCUUAGUGUUGGGAGACUGCUCCAGCGGUGCUACCCUGUAGCUACCCUGCAGCUCCUCAAAGACAGCGGCGGAGUUGUGGUAUCCUCUGAGCUUAGUAACUUGUUCUAGCUUUCGAGUACACCACUUCCCCGGCCGUAAAACCCUUAAUUUUUAAUGGUUGACCUCGGAUCAGGUAGGAAUACCCGCUGAACUUAAGCAUAUCAAUAAGCGGAGGA
Molecule: unclassified non-coding RNA, 355 nt
Filed under: soil metagenome
Description: partial contains 5.8S ribosomal RNA, internal transcribed spacer 2, and large subunit ribosomal RNA
Rfam family: 5.8S ribosomal RNA (bases 1-120)
Source: RNAcentral